RNAcentral lists this small RNA (2453 nucleotides) under Pan troglodytes (chimpanzee). RNAcentral describes it as "retained intron". The record is from RNAcentral. Lineage: Eukaryota; Metazoa; Chordata; Mammalia; Primates; Hominidae.
UGAGGGCGGAAGGGACAGGCAUAGGAGGGACUCUGUGGGAGGCAUUUGGGGUUGGCUUUCCUAGGCCUCUGGCCCACCUCCACCUUGGCUUUGGAGAAGGGGAGCCGCUACAGGGGAUGGCAGCUGGGAAAGGCCCCCUGGCCACCCCCAGCAACCCCACUGCUGGCUUCUGUGUCAGGGCCCGCCGAAACCCAGGCCCACUCUUCCUAGAGGCCUGUCAGCAGCCACUAGGGCCAGGGACUGUGGGUGAGGCCACUCGGACCCUGCCCCCAGUCUGUCAGGGCCUGAGAAGGGCCUGGUGUGUGGUGGGCUUGCAGCACUCAGUGAUGGUCAGGCCAGGCAGGUUAUGUGUUGCCCUCUCCCACCCUAGCGUCCCCCCCCUUCCCAGGCAGACUCUUCCCAGCAGCAAGCGGAAGCCCGGGCAGAGGCUGCUGUCAUAGGCAGAGGCCCCCGCUGAUGCCGGCCCUGCUUGCCCCUCACACUGCCAGGUCUUCACAUGCUCUGUGUGCCAGGAGACAUUCCGCCGAAGGAUGGAGCUGCGGGUGCACAUGGUGUCUCACACAGGGGAGAUGCCCUACAAGGUCAGGCUUGGCCUGUCUCCAGGGCCAGGGUUGGGUAGCCCCAGGAUCCUUCCUGCUGAGCCCUUUACGUGGGGUGCUGUCAGGCACCUCCCUCACAGUAGCUGUCAGGGAGCCUGCCUUCCCUGCCUGUCCAGUGCCCCCUUAUCUAGGCAGGGCUACUGUCUGCAGCCUCACCUCCAAGGUCCUUAUUAGGCCCUUGUUUCUUUCCAUGGAGGACAGGCUUGGCAUCCUCUGGGCAGCUGAGCCCUGAGGGCCCUCCUUUGCACCAUCCUUCACACCAGAUCAGGGGUCCUCCCAGAAUCAUCUCACCGGGGCCUCCCUCUAGUUCCUGCCCUAUAGCCCAAGGGUGGGUGGCAGGGUUUCAUGGGUGCAGGCCGCCCUGGAGGUGACUGUGGGCCUCUUUUUCAGUGUUCCUCCUGCUCCCAGCAGUUCAUGCAGAAGAAGGACUUGCAGAGCCACAUGAUCAAACUUCAUGGAGCCCCCAAGCCCCAUGCAUGCCCCACCUGUGCCAAGUGCUUCCUGUCUCGGACAGAGCUGCAGCUGCAUGAAGCUUUCAAGCACCGUGGUGAGAAGCUGUUUGUGUGUGAGGAGUGUGGGCACCGGGCCUCGAGCCGGAAUGGCCUGCAGAUGCACAUCAAGGCCAAGCACAGGAAUGAGAGGCCACACGUAUGUGAGUUCUGCAGCCACGCCUUCACCCAAAAGGCCAAUCUCAACAUGCACCUGCGCACGCACACGGGUGAGAAGCCCUUCCAGUGCCACCUCUGUGGCAAGACCUUCCGAACCCAAGGUGAGGUACGCCCCGCCCCUCCCCUCGCCUCCCCAUCCCGAGGCCAAGGCCACAGGCUGAGCUCUUGCCUUGUGCCUGCAGCCAGCCUGGACAAGCACAACCGCACCCACACCGGGGAAAGGCCCUUCAGUUGCGAGUUCUGUGAACAGCGCUUCACUGAGAAGGGGCCCCUCCUGAGGCACGUGGCCAGCCGCCAUCAGGAGGGCCGGCCCCACUUCUGCCAGAUAUGCGGCAAGACCUUCAAAGGUACCUGGGCGGCCCUGGGAGAGCCAUUUCCUGCUCAUCCGAGUUGGAGGGUCUCUGAGGAGGAAACGCUCCUUUCUUGCCAGUGAACCUCUUUUGUGCCCCACAUGGUUAGAGUUGAGAGUGGACCUGCUUUGAAGGCAGGGGUGACCUGUGCAGUAGUGACCCUGGGUGGCACUGGAGAGCCUGGCAGGGCCUGUGCAGCACUUGUAAACCACUGGUCCCCUCCCUUGCUGCCUGUCCCAACCUCCUGCUGGGUUUCCUCGAGGGUCCCGGGGCUCCUGCAUGAUCCCCCCCCCGCGUUCUCCCUCUUGCAGCCGUGGAGCAACUGCGUGUGCACGUCAGACGGCACAAGGGGGUGAGGAAGUUUGAGUGCACCGAGUGUGGCUACAAGUUUACCCGACAGGUAGGCCAGGGCCCGGGCCCCUUCCCCUACCCUAGGAUCCCCCGAAGUCCUGAGCUCACCCUCCCCGCCAGGCCCACCUGCGGAGGCACAUGGAGAUCCACGACCGGGUGGAGAACUACAACCCGCGGCAGCGCAAGCUCCGCAACCUGAUCAUCGAGGACGAGAAGAUGGUGGUGGUGGCGCUGCAGCCGCCUGCAGAGCUGGAGGUGGGCUCGGCGGAGGUCAUUGUGGAGUCCCUGGCCCAGGGCGGCCUGGCCUCCCAGCUCCCCGGCCAGAGACUGUGUGCAGAGGAGAGCUUCACCGGCCCAGGUGUCCUGGAGCCCUCCCUCAUCAUCACAGCUGCUGUCCCCGAGGACUGUGACACAUAGCCCACUCUGGCCACCAGAGCCCACUUGGCCCCACCCCUCAAUAAACCGUGUGGCUUUGGACUCUCGUA